GACGAACGCUGGCGGCGUGCUUAACACAUGCAAGUCGAACGGUGAAAGCGGAGCUUGCUCCGCUGGAUCAGUGGCGAACGGGUGAGUAACACGUGGGCAACCUGCCCCUCACUUCGGGAUAACUCCGGGAAACCGGGGCUAAUACCGGAGAUGACCUGCCUGGGCAUCCUGUGAGGUGGUAAGUUGUUCGGUGGGGGAUGGGCCCGCGGCCUCUCAGCUUGUUGGUGAGGUAGUGGCUCACCAAGGCGACGACGGGGAGCCGGCCUGAGAGGGCGACCGGCCACACUGGGACUGAGACACGGCCCAGACUCCUACGGGAGGCAGCAGUGGGGAAUAUUGCGCAAUGGGCGAAAGCCUGACGCAGCAACGCCGCGUGCGGGAUGACGGCCUUCGGGUUGUAAACCGCUUUCAGCAGGGAAGAAGCGAAAGUGACGGUACCUGCAGAAAAAGCACCGGCUAACUACNUGCCAGCCGCCGCGGUAA
Molecule: ribosomal RNA, 483 nt
Filed under: uncultured bacterium
Lineage: Bacteria
Description: partial 16S ribosomal RNA
Rfam family: Bacterial small subunit ribosomal RNA
Source: RNAcentral